This 174-nucleotide ribosomal RNA is filed under the name uncultured Microbacterium sp. RNAcentral describes it as "partial 16S ribosomal RNA". It matches the Rfam family "Bacterial small subunit ribosomal RNA", at positions 339 to 525 of the family's 1533-position model. The record is from RNAcentral. Lineage: Bacteria; Bacillati; Actinomycetota; Actinomycetes; Micrococcales; Microbacteriaceae.
CUACGGGAGGCAGCAGUGGGGAAUAUUGCACAAUGGGCGGAAGCCUGAUGCAGCAACGCCGCGUGAGGGAUGACGGCCUUCGGGUUGUAAACCUCUUUUAGCAGGGAAGAAGCGAAAGUGACGGUACCUGCAGAAAAAGCGCCGGCUAACUACGUGCCAGCAGCCGCGGUAAUA